GCCCGCCUAGCUCAAUCGGAUAGAGCGUCAGACUCUUAAGGCGGGCCCCCGGAAUUAUCUUGGGGUCAGAACAUACUCAUGUGAUCUGAAGGCUGCGAGUUCGACCCUCGCGGUGGGCU
RNAcentral lists this transfer RNA (119 nucleotides) under Fibroporia radiculosa. It matches the Rfam family "tRNA". Rfam says of the family: Transfer RNA (tRNA) molecules are approximately 80 nucleotides in length. Their secondary structure includes four short double-helical elements and three loops (D, anti-codon, and T loops). The record is from Rfam by way of RNAcentral. Lineage: Eukaryota; Fungi; Basidiomycota; Agaricomycetes; Polyporales; Fibroporiaceae.